AGCCUUUAGUAAACAUUAAAGGUGACGUCUGCCCAGUGAUCAAAAUUGAUUUAACGGCCGCGGAUGACGUGCUAAGGUAGCGUAAUCACUUGUCUCUUUAUUGGGGACCUGUAUGAAAGGCAUUACGAUAGCCCCACUGUCUCACCCCAACCCUUUGAAGUUGACUUGUAGGUGAAAAGGCCUACAUAUAGUCGGAGGACAAGAAGACCCUAUAGAGUUUUAGCGGAGAUGGCCUCAUCAAGAGGGCACAUUGUAAGGUAGACCUACCGGGGAGGUCAUUACGCUUUAAUUGGGGCAAUUAAGGAACAUAGCAAAAUUCCUGGAAUAAGCAAUCACGUUAGUGAUCUAGUUGAUCCCUGAAGGGAAUCGAGAAUAAACUACCUUAGGGAUAACAGCGUAAUCCUAUCUAAGAGAUCUAAUCGCAGGUAGGGUUUGCGACCUCGAUGUUGGAUUAGGGUAUCCGGAAGGUGCAGCAGCUUUCAACGGUGGGCCUGUUCGGCCUAUAACACCCUACAU
Molecule: ribosomal RNA, 516 nt
Filed under: Paludicella articulata
Lineage: Eukaryota; Metazoa; Bryozoa; Gymnolaemata; Ctenostomatida; Paludicellidae
Description: partial 16S ribosomal RNA
Rfam family: Bacterial large subunit ribosomal RNA
Source: RNAcentral